RNAcentral lists this ribosomal RNA (120 nucleotides) under uncultured bacterium. RNAcentral's name for it is "partial 16S ribosomal RNA". It matches the Rfam family "Bacterial small subunit ribosomal RNA", at positions 796 to 915 of the family's 1533-position model. The record is from RNAcentral.
CACGCCGUAAACGAUGAAUACUAGGUGUCGGGGAGCAUGGCUCUUCGGUGCCGUCGCAAACGCAGUAAGUAUUCCACCUGGGGAGUACGUUCGCAAGAAUGAAACUCAAAGGAAUUGACG